AAAUAAACUCAAAAGCUCAUCAACACAUAAUCUUCAAUUUGUUCAUGGGCACUAGAACACCAAACAUGACAAAAUCCAGAAAGUUUCUUCAUGCCAUCUUCAGCCCCUUAAAGUUCCACUCUAGCAGAGGUACAUCUUCUCAAAUAAUUUAUGCUUAUUUUUAUAUAUGCUGUUUUUUUUUUGGAUCUGUAAUCUAAUCAAUCAGAAGGGCAAGAAGAUUCGGAAAGGAUUACAUCUCAAGAACAGAAGGUAUUCACUUUCCAAACCCUAAUUUCUGGUACCAAAGAUUUCCAC
RNAcentral lists this long non-coding RNA (294 nucleotides) under Panax ginseng (ginseng). RNAcentral's name for it is "long non-coding RNA (PGIN_LNC017179)". Lineage: Eukaryota; Viridiplantae; Streptophyta; Magnoliopsida; Apiales; Araliaceae. The record is from RNAcentral.